Passer domesticus (house sparrow) is the source of this 1213-nucleotide long non-coding RNA. RefSeq lists it as uncharacterized. The record is from RefSeq and is a predicted model, not a curated record. The transcript is spliced from 5 exons. NCBI's taxonomy places the organism in Eukaryota, Metazoa, Chordata, Aves, Passeriformes, Passeridae.
AGUGUAAUUACAGAAAUAAGAUCUGUGCUUUGAACCAUAUACAUGAGGGAACCACCAGAUUACUUUGUAUGGGUGUGCCCCAGCUCUCCGAUUGACAACCUGCUGGUUUUCCUGGUCUUUGCUAAUCUGAAAGGAUGUAAUUAUUAACCAGCAAAAACUCCACUCCUGCACGUGCAUCCCAUGUGUAGUCCUCUGCAGAACUGCCACCAGUCACUGCUACUGUUGUUAGUACUAGACACAAAACAGCAUCUUUAGCAAGCUGAGGAUCCUUGAUACUGUGCUAGUGUGUGUAAUUGAAAACAGAAGUUCAUGUGGAGGAGAAGGUUAUCUAUUGAGUAAAUUUUCCUGUAACACCUUUGCUGGAACUGUAGGUCUCUCCUUGAACACGGACCAUCAGUUUUCCUCAGGAGACUGACUGUCCAUUGCUACAGCAUGCCAUUUUGCAAAACUGUAGGUGUAGCAAUGUCCAAUGGCAGUGUGAUGAUGGAAGACUGGGAACCAUUGUACCAUUGGCUGCCACGGGGUAUAUCUGUUCUCCUUCCUGGCUCUUUAGUGCUGUGGAUUGAUAGCAUCAGUCAUGCCUGCCUGUGCCAGUUGAAGAACGUACUGCUUCUCUUCUGAAUCCAACUAGACUGUAGAUCUGCUUCUUCAACUUCUUUGGAGAUAGAAGACAUGAUCAUAUCUCUGAAUCACAGACUACUGGAGGCUGUGAGAAUGUACAGAACUUAUAUAUUCUGUGCUUGCCCUGUUUGUGUUCUCUCCCCUAGGCACCUGCUAAUCAUCACUGUUGGGAAUUGAAUACAAGGCUAAGGAGAUCUUUGGUUUUACCUGUUAUGGCUGUUCUUAUAAUUUAUUUCUAUAUGGUUCCAGGAAGACAACAGCUACUCUGUGACUUUGCAGCUUGUCGUUCAGUAGGGAGAUAUUUCUCACUUUUCUGGCCAUGUGCAGUCAAGAAGAGGGAGAAGUUGAAGAAAUAUGUAGAAGUGUGAAGAAAAGUGUUUGGCCUUACCACAUAAGCAUGCAAGAGAGAAAGGAAAGACAAUGAGAGCAGGGAAUACAAUGAAGAGAUGUAGAUUCACUCUCGGAACAAAGAUUCCUUAAAGUCGGUGUGUGUAACACCCUAACACAGAGCACCAUAUCCAGAAGCAGAAGGAGCAACUAUGCAAGGGAGCGGAUUCAUCAGAGGUCAGGCAGGAGCAUUUCUUGCAGAUGA